AAAACAUCGCCUCUUGUUAAUAAUAAGAGGUCCCGCCUGCCCAGUGAUAAACUUCAACGGCCGCGGUACCCUAACCGUGCAAAGGUAGCAUAAUCACUUGUUCUCUAAAUAAGGACUCGUAUCAAUGGCAUCACGAGGGUUGUACUGUCUCCCCUAUCCAAUCAGUGAAACUGAUCUCCCCGUGAAAAAGCGGGGAUAAAACUAUAAGACGAGAAGACCCCAUGGAGCUUUAAACCAACAGCAAUUUAGUAAAUAUUCCCUUAAAACUACAAAAUUAUGCUAUCGGCUUUAGGUUGGGGUGACCGCGGAGUAAAACUUAACCUCCAUGUCGAAAAGAUUAAUCUUAACCCAAGAACCACUAUUCUAAGAAUUAGAAAACUAACGGACAAUGACCCGAUUAUCGAUCAACGAACCAAGUUACCCUGGGGAUAACAGCGCAAUCUACUUCAAGAGUCCUUAUCGACAAGUAGGCUUACGACCUCGAUGUUGGAUCAGGGUAUCCCAGUGGCGCAACCGCUACUAAAGGUUCGUUUGUUCAACGAUUAAAACCCUACGUGAUCU
Molecule: ribosomal RNA, 561 nt
Filed under: Raorchestes malipoensis (Malipo bush frog)
Lineage: Eukaryota; Metazoa; Chordata; Amphibia; Anura; Rhacophoridae
Description: Raorchestes sp. m JH-2022 partial large subunit ribosomal RNA
Rfam family: Bacterial large subunit ribosomal RNA
Source: RNAcentral